This 337-nucleotide ribosomal RNA is filed under the name Pheidole protea. RNAcentral describes it as "partial 12S ribosomal RNA". The record is from RNAcentral. Lineage: Eukaryota; Metazoa; Arthropoda; Insecta; Hymenoptera; Formicidae.
UUAUAAUUAAGGUUAAUUAAUAAGAAAUUAAAUGGAAUCAUUAAAUUUAAAAAAUUUGGCGGUAUUUUAAAUAGUUAGAGGAAUCUGUUAGUUAAAUGAUAGUCCACGAGUGGGGGGUCCUAAAAAAUUUUUAUGUAUUGUUGUAAUAAAAUUAUUUUAAAAAAAAAUAAUUAAGAUAUUAGAUUUAAUUUGAAUUCAAAUCAAAAUGUAGAAUUUUUAGGAUAUAAUGGGUUACAUUUUAAUCUAAUAUUAAUAUUAUUUUUUUAAUAAAAUAAUAUUGUAGGAUUUAAAAGUAAAUUUAAAUAAAUUUUUAAAUUGAAAUAUAAAUUGAAAUAUG